UGGCGAACGGGUGAGUAACGCGUGAGGAACCUGCCUCAAAGAGGGGGACAACAGUUGGAAACGACUGCUAAUACCGCAUAAGCCCACGACCCGGCAUCGGGAAGAGGGAAAAGGAGCAAUCCGCUUUGAGAUGGCCUCGCGUCCGAUUAGCUAGUUGGUGAGGUAACGGCCCACCAAGGCGACGAUCGGUAGCCGGACUGAGGGGUUGAACGGCCACAUUGGGACUGAGACACGGCCCAG
Molecule: ribosomal RNA, 240 nt
Filed under: uncultured bacterium
Lineage: Bacteria
Description: partial 16S ribosomal RNA
Rfam family: Bacterial small subunit ribosomal RNA
Source: RNAcentral